UGCCAAGUCCCAAUCCAAAUUGAACAACAGUCCCAAGUUGAAGCCCUUUAUAGCCUUUCCGGAGCCUGGCGGGUUUUCUUUCUGAGGCUGAUUGCUUUUGUCUUUGGCUCGUCUUGCACAGCACUUCCUGGUUUGGGGGUGGAAGUGAAAUGUUACAAGCCCGACUAGAAAACGCUCCUCUGCAGAGACUGUCAGCCGUGGUUGUUGCCUGUUUGUGAUGAGACCUGACCGAUACCUGCUGUGCGUCAGGCUCUGUGGAGGGACCAGGGACCUCCUACACUCAAGGACCCACAGUCCAGAAGGAAAGACAAACAAAUAAAUCCACAAGCAAGUGACCACAGGAACUUCUCACUUCUCACCAGGAAGCAUAUAAAAUGAGAAAAAGGCAGGAUGGAAUCCAGAGAAGAAGGCAGUGGAGCCCAAGAAAGAGCGUCAGUGGGGCAGAAGGAAGCUAAUAGAGAAGUGGUGCUAAAGGCCAAGGGAGGGGCCUUCUAAAAGGAAGGGCUGGUCCACAAUAAAAAAUGUCACUCAAAGGUUGGGUGGGACAAUGUAUGAAGAGUGUCCUUUUGAUCUGACAGCUGAGAGGUUUUUGAUAACAGUCAGUGGGUAAAACUGGGAAGGAGGCAGUGUUUCUCUGCGGGGCCCGCAGUUUGGACAGUCCCCUUCACUUUGGGUGGUGUUUUUUUCUACCACCACGUACCCCAGGAAGGGACGUUACCCUGGAGCUUCUGGCUGACAUCCCGGUGUCCUCCAACGCCACUGAAACAUACUUGUCCUAUCUGCCAUCUCCAGACUCUCGGUCAACUUUGCUCCACUCCAUAGUGAUGUUUUCCUGAGUAAAUCAGAAAAAAAAAAAAGAAUCCUUGUAGACAGGCAACAACUAAUUAGCAAAUAUGCAAAGCUCUCAGCCUCCUUUCCCUUAUGCCAUCAUGGAUCUGAGUAGGAGCUUCAUGCAUCUGACUGUAGAAUGAAGCCUCCGUAGUGAAGUUCUUUCCAUCCUUGGGGGUUUGGGUUUAUGGAAACAAAGGAGAGGAAGGUGCUGGUCAGUUGGAGAAUAUGUGUAGACCACUGGAGCCUUGCUAUGUACUAUGGUCUGAAUGUUUGUGUCCCCUUCAAAUUCCUAAGUUGAAAUGUUAAUGCCCAUCUCCAUGGCAUUAGUAGGUGGGGGUGCUUCUGGGAGGUGAUUAGGUCAUGAGGGCAGAGCUUUAUGCCCUUGAAAACAAAUGCCCAAGAGAGCUCCCUUGCCUCUCUGUCACGUGAAGAAACAAGGAGACGUCUCAACUCAGAAGCGAGCCCUCACUCAAACAUGCUGCACCCUGAUGUUGGACGUCCAGCCUCCAGCGCUGUGAGAAAUGCAUUCCUGUUGUCUCUAAGCUCCCUAGUCCAUAGUUGGUUUGUUUUUCUAUAGCAUCCCAAAUGGACCAAGACACUGUGCUUCUCAGAUCACAUGGGCUUGUGCAUGGAUGGCAGAAGGGGUAGCGGGGAGGGAAGGAGGCAGAAGGAUGGAGAGACAGAGGCAGAAGAGAAAAAAAUAAACAGCAGAGGAAGUAGUUUUAAAUUUUCACUACCAGACAAGAACUAACAGACAAGAACUCGAGUCACACAUGAAAGGGCGAGGGCUACGCCCUCCAUCUUGCCCUGAAUCCUCCAUUUUUGGGCAGCAGCCAU
Molecule: long non-coding RNA, 1668 nt
Organism: Myotis brandtii (Brandt's bat)
Lineage: Eukaryota; Metazoa; Chordata; Mammalia; Chiroptera; Vespertilionidae
Exons: 3
Source: RefSeq, a predicted model, not a curated record